AUGUCUCGGUGGUCCCUAUCCCCGGUGGAGCGGUGCGGUGGCUGCGGCGAGGACGAGGCCGGCGGCUACUGGCGCCCCUCCCCUGCCUGGAUCUGGCCGGCUGGGACGCCUUCCCUCCAAAAGGCCCGUUUUGGGGUGGAAGGAGAUGCCUUCUACCCUCACUGGUCGGUGGCGUCCAUUAGCCGUCGUGGUGGUUGCGAUGGGGACUUGGAUGCCGGGACGGCGACCUCGAUGGUGGUGGUCGCGCUGCUUGUGGGCGGGGUGCGCGGCUCAGGUGUGGGCUGGUCGCUAUGGUCGUUUGGGCGGCGUGGCGGCCGGUGCUUCGGCAAGCGGUGA
Molecule: ribosomal RNA, 336 nt
Filed under: Triticum aestivum (bread wheat)
Lineage: Eukaryota; Viridiplantae; Streptophyta; Magnoliopsida; Poales; Poaceae
Description: partial small subunit ribosomal RNA
Source: RNAcentral